RNAcentral lists this microRNA precursor (103 nucleotides) under Marmota monax (woodchuck). Lineage: Eukaryota; Metazoa; Chordata; Mammalia; Rodentia; Sciuridae. The record is from RNAcentral.
AGUGGGAUAGUUGGGUCAAAUGGUGGUUCCAUUCCAACUUUUCUGAGGAGUAUCCAAACUGCUUUCCAUAUUGGUUGCAUCAAUUUGCAUUCCCACCAGCAAU